RNAcentral lists this ribosomal RNA (1463 nucleotides) under Eubacterium maltosivorans. Its description in RNAcentral is "bacterial LSU rRNA". It matches the Rfam family "Bacterial large subunit ribosomal RNA", at positions 1454 to 2925 of the family's 2925-position model. Lineage: Bacteria; Bacillati; Bacillota; Clostridia; Eubacteriales; Eubacteriaceae. The record is from RNAcentral.
GCGUUUGAGAGAUGGAGUGACACAGAAGGAUAAGCGAACCCGGCCAUUGGAAGAGCCGGGGCAAGCAGUGAGACUGGAAAGAGAGGCAAAUCCCUUUUUCCCCAAGGUCAAGCUGUGAUGCGGAACGAAAAAUAAGUAGGGAAGUCGCCGAUUUCACGCUGUCAAGAAAAGCUUCUAUCGAGCAAAGAGGUACCCGUACCGUAAACCGACACAGGUAGGCGAGGAGAGAAUCCUAAGAUGAGCGGGAGAAGUGUUGUUAAGGAACUCGGCAAAAUGACUCCGUAACUUCGGGAGAAGGAGUGCCCCCUCGGGGGCCGCAGAGAAGAGGCUCAAGCGACUGUUUAGCAAAAACACAGGUCUCUGCUAAAUCGAAAGAUGACGUAUAGGGGCUGACGCCUGCCCGGUGCUGGAAGGUUAAGGGGAGUGCUUAGCGCAAGCGAAGGUGCGAACUUAAGCCCCAGUAAACGGCGGCCGUAACUAUAACGGUCCUAAGGUAGCGAAAUUCCUUGUCAGGUAAGUUCUGACCCGCACGAAAGGCGUAACGAUUUGAGCGCUGUCUCGACAACACACCCGGUGAAAUUGUAGUACUCGUGAAGAUGCGAGUUACCCGCGACAGGACGGAAAGACCCCGUAGAGCUUUACUGUAGUCUGGCAUUGAGUUUUGAUAUAACAUGUACAGGAUAGGUGGGAGGCAGAGAAGCAUGCACGCCAGUGUGUGCCGAGCCAUUGUUGGGAUACCACUCUUGUUAUAUUGGAAUUCUAACGCGUUGCCGUCAACCGGCAAGCGGACAGUGUCAGAUGGGCAGUUUGACUGGGGCGGUCGCCUCCUAAAAAGUAUCGGAGGCGCCCAAAGUUACCCUCAGGAUGGUUGGAAACCAUCUGUAAGAGUGCAAAGGCAGAAGGGUGAUUGACUGCGAGAGAGACAUCUCGAGCAGAGACGAAAGUCGGGCUUAGUGAUCCGGUGGUUCCGAGUGGAAGGGCCAUCGCUCAACGGAUAAAAGCUACCUCGGGGAUAACAGGCUUAUCUCCCCCAAGAGUCCACAUCGACGGGGAGGUUUGGCACCUCGAUGUCGGCUCGUCUCAUCCUGGGGCUGAAGCAGGUCCCAAGGGUUGGGCUGUUCGCCCAUUAAAGAGGCACGCGAGCUGGGUUCAGAACGUCGUGAGACAGUUCGGUCCCUAUCCGUCGUGGGCGUAAGAUAUUUGAAAGGAGCUGUUCCUAGUACGAGAGGACCGGAAUGGACAAACCGCUGGUGCACCAGUUGUUCCGCCAGGAGCAUCGCUGGGUAGCUAAGUUUGGAAGGGAUAAGUGCUGAAGGCAUCUAAGCACGAAGCCCCCCUUAAGAUAAGAUAUCUCAUUCGAAAGAAGUAAGGCCUCUGGAAGACGACCAGGUAGAUAGGCUGGAGGUGGAAGUGCAGCAAUGUAUGGAGCUGACCAGUACUAAUCGGCCGAGGUCUUGAUCCCA